GACGAACGCUGGCGGCGCGCCUAACACAUGCAAGUCGAACGGAGCUGAGAGAAGCUUGCUUUUCUUAGCUUAGUGGCGAACGGGUGAGUAACGCGUGAGUAACCUGCCCUGGAGUGGGGGACAACAGUUGGAAACGACUGCUAAUACCGCAUAAGCCCACGAUCCGGCAUCGGAUUGAGGGAAAAGGAUUUAUUCGCUUCAGGAUGGACUCGCGUCCAAUUAGCUAGUUGGUGAGGUAACGGCCCACCAAGGCGACGAUUGGUAGCCGGACUGAGAGGUUGAACGGCCACAUUGGGACUGAGACACGGCCCAGACUCCUACGGGAGGCAGCAGUGGGGGACAUUGCACAAUGGGGGAAACCCUGAUGCAGCGACGCCGCGUGAAGGAAGAAGGUUUUCGGAUUGUAAACUCCUGUCGUGAGGGACGAUAAUGACGGUACCUAACAAGAAAGCACCGGCUAACUACGUG
This 468-nucleotide ribosomal RNA is filed under the name uncultured bacterium. RNAcentral's name for it is "partial 16S ribosomal RNA". It matches the Rfam family "Bacterial small subunit ribosomal RNA", at positions 28 to 507 of the family's 1533-position model. The record is from RNAcentral.